UCGGGUGUGGUGCGCGGCGCACGGCGCUUCCUGAUGUGGAUUCAAAGGGAAAAUGGUCAGCCGCAAGACGGGGUUCGACUCCCCGCGCCCGAA
Molecule: non-coding RNA, 93 nt
Organism: Mycena olivaceomarginata
Lineage: Eukaryota; Fungi; Basidiomycota; Agaricomycetes; Agaricales; Mycenaceae
Source: the annotation of a GenBank genome assembly